CGUCCGAAUCGUCACCCGUUUCUUUACGGUGUCGUCGGCGCUGCACCCCUAUCUCAGCACCAUCUAUCUGACCGAAGUGUCGGUGCCGACCGGUACCCGCGUCGACGACUAUCUGCAUCCCGAAUGGGGCAACCC
RNAcentral lists this ribosomal RNA (135 nucleotides) under uncultured bacterium. RNAcentral's name for it is "partial 23S ribosomal RNA". The record is from RNAcentral.